This 1004-nucleotide long non-coding RNA is filed under the name Olea europaea subsp. europaea. The record is from RNAcentral. Lineage: Eukaryota; Viridiplantae; Streptophyta; Magnoliopsida; Lamiales; Oleaceae.
GGAGAUUGGAAAGUGGAUGAAGACUCUCAACUGUUCAAAAUACAACAAGAUAAACUUCUAUCCAGUAGCACCAGCCAACUGGGUACGAAAUUGUUUUGAGAUAAGAAAUAUACUCUGUAUAUAUCCCAACAAAGAUCUCAAAGAAAUAGCUCAGCUUCCAGCCAACGUCAGGAAGGCUGUUAAAAGAUAUACUGAAAUUAUCAAGACAACAAAUAUAUACAUCAGAUUCCAUUCAACAACUAUGGAAUGGGAUUCCGUUCUUGAAUAUAUGCAUCUAUCAUUCCAUAUUAUCAAAAUGGAACUUACAAAUCAACAUUUUUUACCAACCAGUCAAAAUGUUGUUAAAAAUGGAUAUCAAGAUAUUAUAAAUAUAAUGCCCUACAGAAGAGCAAAAUGGUAUAAAGAAAUAUUUGAGCAUGUAACCCAGAUAAUUACUGAGAAAGAAAAAAUAUGAAUUUAUCCAUCUGAAGACCAUAUAAUCUACUCCAAUGCAAGGAUGACUACAAAGGAAGAAGACAUAUGUUAUCUUGACCAUUUAUUAUCCUCAAUUAUCUCAAACUAAGUACAUGGGUCAGAAGAUAUGGUGAAAAAACUAUGCAAACUAUUCUGGAAUUACAAAGACCACCAUUGUGAAUACUGUGUAGUGGAAGAUAUGAGUCAAGUAUUUUUCAAUAGAGAAGAAUUCCUUGCAGAAUUCUUUGAUUCAAAGAUGGAAAAGUGAUAGCAACAAAAGUGGCCCUUUAUCACUACUUUAAUAAAAAAUUUUAUUAAAGAAAAACUGUGGCUACUAAAAGAUAGAAGAUAAUGCAAGAAAGUCUCCAUAAUUGUGACCACUCACCUACCAGUCGUCAAAAGUGGAAGACAAAUUCAAAGAUAAGGCAAAUAAUUUCAAAAGGAGAGGUCCACCUAGUAAGAAGAUAAUGGAGAAAUCGGUGGAGAUAAGACUACUGAGCUACUCACCAAAAGAAAAGAGGAUACAGAUGUCAAGAUAAGAUUCUCAAAAC